UAAAGGUGAAUUAAAAAUUCCUCUAGGCCAAGGUUUGAAUCACAAAGUUGUCAAUGAAAUUUUUUUUUUUUUUAACCUCCUCCACAAGGUAGCUUUGUCCCUGGCUGCAGGGCAUAAUUGCAAUAUUGGGGUUUAGAUUGUAAUUAUGAGUUUUGCUAUUGCUAGUUCUGUGAGGAAUACUCUAGUAUCUCUAUAUAUAAGACUGUAACUUUCAGUAGUUGCACUGCAGUAUCUAGAUAUCAUUCCACUGCUGUAACUACUGCAUAGAAGGGAGAAGAGAGGUGGGGCAGGAAGGAAUUCUGAUGAAAUGAUAUGUUCUUGGAGGAUUUGCAAGUCAAUUGCUCAUUUUUCUUUCCUGUUCAGUUAGAAUUGGCAAAGGAAAGUUUAUUAAAUGGAAUGGAUUUGAGCGUCUGUUACUUCUUUAUCUCUCUCUGGGGAUGCUGGAAGAAUUUUGCCUUGCACCUCUUGCUAAAGAGCAAGGGAAUAACAAUGUUGCCUUUUUUUCUCUGUUCGUGCUGAGCAAAGCGAACAAGUGUCUGCAGCUGUUAAUUAGUAGAGAGGUUAAUAGAAGAGCUGCGAAUCAUUGGCAGAUCCCAAAGAGUUCCCCAAUUUGGUCGAGGACUGGCAGCUUACUCUUGCCUUUGAAUCUAAGAUUCCUAGAGAACAAGGCACUUAUCUCCCUGCUGAGCAAUACUUAACUAAUGCUGAAAGUCUAACAUCAACCUCAUUCAGAGUUUCAAAUGCAUGCAAAUUGAGGAGGAAGCAUGCAACUCAAAAUGGAGAUCUAGAUAAUGAGGAAAUGAUGACAAUGAUGCUGAAAAAGCUAUCCAGGGAGAUCCUGAACCAGCAAAGAGUGUUAUGGUUGUUGAUGGUAAUGAUGGUGAACAAGUGAUGCAUCAAUGAAUGUACUUCAUCAACUUAAAGACAAUAGUAAGCGCUAUGUGUUUAUCAUUUUUUGUUUUGAACAUUUUAUGUGAACUUGGCUUCCUGUAGGUCCAAUGUCAUUAUGAUAUUUUAGUUUUUGUGACAGUGCUUGACAGUGCUUGUCCUACUUUUUUCAGUUCUUCAUUAACCACAUAGCCACAAAGUACUUUCUGAACAUCACUAAAAGACAGCUUCUUCCACCAGUGUAAAUACAUUAUUGAGGUGAGAAAAGCUUUUCUUUAUACACAAUUUAUUUAAUCAGUGGUUCACUGGUAAAAAAGAUUUCAUUUGAGUAGGGCAUACAAUCAUGCCAUAUGUUGUUUGACACCAGAAAAUUUGUUCUUUGGAUUACCGCAAGAUAAGCUAUAAACUUUCACAAAGGCAUGACAUUUUCCACAAGAUAUUAAAUUCUGACUGUGGCAGUUGCUAGGGGGCCAAAGGUCCUUUUUCUUCUUAAUAUUAGUUGGUUGGAAAUGGAUCCUGUGGUUUAUAUCACCAGAAAUUGAUAGUAUUUGUUUGUUGUUGAUCCCACACAGUAUCUGCUACGAUGCAUCUAAGAUAUUGUACAUACUGAAGAAUAAAUUUUAUUAACUAUGGCCCAUGAAUUUCAGGUUGGCCUACAUCUUACUGAAGAGCCAUAAUCUCUACUAUUGUUAGCUGCAUCUUGGCCUGUCUCCUAAGUGGGACCUUUAAUUCAUAGCAUUAGCUAAUAAUCUUAUACCCUCUUUGCUUUAGUUUUUUGAUUUUGACCUAUCACAUUACGUUUCCCUCCUCUUUUGUGGUUGGGUGACCUGUACCAUCUUUCCAUGUGUAUUUACCCCCUCAGAAACUGUUUCUUACUGGUUCUUAUUGCGAGUUGUAAGGAUACUUAUUCUCGUGAAACUUUACACCUUUACAGAUGGAAAAUGACCUCCCAGAGAAAAAAGUAGAGAAGAAAAGAAUCAAAACAAAUUUAUUGAUCAGAUUCUUGCCUUCUCUUGUUUUAUGUACAUUGUAUCAGGUUUUGCAGUAAGGUGGCCCUAUAAGAUGGCGUUUCCGGUUGCCAAUGGUUUCGUAAUUAAGGUAAUCAAUUCAACAAAAAAACAUACUUUGACAAUACUUUACAAAAGAAAAUUCCUUUAGAUAAAUUAUAAUUGAUGUGCUUAGUGCAGCAUUAGCAAAAUAGAUAAUGCAUGAGGUGUAUUUUUUUAGUCCCAUAAUUCAUAUUCUCAGUCCCAUAAUUGUCAUGGUAUAAUAGUGAUUAGACAAAGUUCUAAUCAUUUGAGAUUCCCUGAUAAUGAAGCAUUACAUACAUUAUAAAUAAGAUUAGCAUAGCAAUUGGCAACAAUGAUUUGGUUAAAUUGGAUUUUAUUAAGUUAGGAAGGGAGAACUUAGCUGGAACUUGGAAUUCAGCUUUUGUGUGUUCUAUAACACGCGUUUAGAGCAAAUCUGUGUCUUUGUUAGGUUAGAUUUGUCUUUUAUUAUGUUAUGCCGACAUUUUUGCAUAGUUGAGGGAAAAAAAAAGUAAUUCUUUAAAGCUAUUUUCUAUGGUAUAUACUAUUUUACCUAUUCCAGCAGCUUCCUAUGACUUUCAUUAGACAAAAACAAAUCUCUCUAAUAGCAAAAAGCAAAUAGUUGGUGGCUUUCAUGUUCAAUAUACAAUUUCUGGAUAACUUGUUGCUACUCGUUGGUGGAGUUUUCUAAAAAUAAAACAUAAAAAACAAAAUUCAGCUCUGAAAAUUCACCAUGUUUAUAAAUUUAUUUUUCUAAUAAAUUUUUUAUUUAUAAAUUAGAAUUGAUGAUGUUUAGAUCAAAAAAAUUAACUGAAGGCUUGAUUUUGUGGUAGUGUGCAAAGAAAAUUUGAAAUUUCAGAUUGAUUUUUCAUCGCAUAACAAAAAAUUGACAAAUAGCUACUCCUGUGGUAAUAAUGUUUAAUUGAUUUUUAAUUAGAGAUUCUAUUUUAUAAAUUUCACUAACUGUUAAGUAGUGACCCACCCAUGAAUUUCAACGUUAGGGACCAAUUUAUCUAUCAAAAGGCGCGCCCUCUUGUUCUUCCAUAGCGUGACGAGGAGUCAGGGAUAUUUUGGGUAAUCACUCUAGUCAAUUGAAUUGAGUCCCAUAUUCAGCCAACCAUAGUUAAAAGUUUCACGGAGACACUGACCUAUACCUCCUCUGGGGAAUGGGAUUACUUAUCUAUUUAUAAACGCUAAACUAAUGAACUGUUGUUAUUUAUAAAAAUUAGGGUUUUUUUCUCUUUUUUAUUAGUAAAUGUCCAGUAAUACCCUUCUUUAUUCUAUGUGUUUUCAUUAGAUUGACUUGGGCGAUCUAUCUAUGGAAUGAAUUUAAUAAAACAUGAAAAAAUAAUUAUUUUAAUAGUCGUUGGUUAUCUCAAUGAUUACGGUGUAUUGUAUUAGCAUUUUUCAAAUGUUCAAAAAGAGAAAAGUAAACAGUAACAUAAAAUCACGCAACCCAAUACUAUAAAUAAUAAAAUAAACAUUUUGACUAUAGUUAUAGUUAAAACGUGCUAUCUUAAAAGCAGCUGCGGAAGAGGUUGGUGUCGAAUCAAAAGCCUAGAGUAGCUGGACCGGGUAAGAUUCUUUAGUAUUAAGGUAAAAGUAACAAUUUUUUUCUGAAAUCUGACACUCCUAUGGUUUAUCAUUUUACCGUUGCAGUCUUUUUUAUUAUUGGAAUAUCAAUUUGUAUCCAUUCAGUUGUAAAUUGUGAUGAUAAGGUGAAUUUCUUUUCUUUGGAUUUUUGUUUCGUACGUGAAGCAAAUGCCAUUGGCAGCUUCCAUUAUAAGUUGUGGUUAGGUGAAUAUCUUCGGUUGUCACUAUUCUUUACCAAGAAUAGGAAAUAUUUAUUUUAUAAUGUUAAUUUUUAUUGAAGUUUUAAAUCUGUAA
Jatropha curcas is the source of this 3803-nucleotide non-coding RNA. The record is from RefSeq and is a predicted model, not a curated record. Lineage: Eukaryota; Viridiplantae; Streptophyta; Magnoliopsida; Malpighiales; Euphorbiaceae.